Molecule: ribosomal RNA, 253 nt
Filed under: uncultured bacterium
Lineage: Bacteria
Description: partial 16S ribosomal RNA
Rfam family: Bacterial small subunit ribosomal RNA
Source: RNAcentral
UACAGAGGUGGCAAGCGUUGUUCGGAAUUACUGGGCGUAAAGGGCGCGUAGGCGGCUUGGUCAGUCCCGUGUGAAAUCCCUCGGCUCAACUGAGGAACUGCACGGGAAACUGCCUGGCUUGAGUUCGGGAGAGGGAAGCGGAAUUCCGGGUGUAGCGGUGAAAUGCGUAGAUAUCCGGAGGAACACCUAUGGCGAAGGCAGCUCUCUGGGACGGUACUGACGCUGAGACGCGAAAGCGUGGGGAGCGAACAGG